GUGUGGCUCUCCUCUGGCAUG
RNAcentral lists this microRNA (21 nucleotides) under Zea mays. Its description in RNAcentral is "zma-miR399d-5p". Its record names the gene zma-miR399d-5p. Lineage: Eukaryota; Viridiplantae; Streptophyta; Magnoliopsida; Poales; Poaceae. The record is from miRBase by way of RNAcentral.